RNAcentral lists this ribosomal RNA (218 nucleotides) under uncultured bacterium. Its description in RNAcentral is "partial 16S ribosomal RNA". It matches the Rfam family "Bacterial small subunit ribosomal RNA", at positions 1283 to 1500 of the family's 1533-position model. The record is from RNAcentral.
CCAUCCCAGUUCGGAUUGCAGGCUGCAACCCGCCUGUAUGAAGUUGGAAUCGCUAGUAAUCGCGGGUCAGCAUGCCGCGGUGAAUACGUUCCCGGGCCUUGUACACACCGCCCGUCACACCAUGAGAGUCGGGAACACCCGAAGUCCGUAGUCUAACCGCAAGGGGGACGCGGCCGAAGGUGGGUUCGAUAAUUGGGGUGAAGUCGUAACAAGGUAAC